AUGGCCGUAUCACACUAAAACACCGGUUCUUGUAUCAUCACUGAAGAUAAUCAAUGUCAUGCCUGGUUAGUACCAAGAUGGGUGGCCGCUUGGGAAUAUCAGGUACUGUAA
Acanthosepion pharaonis is the source of this 111-nucleotide non-coding RNA. The record is from the annotation of a GenBank genome assembly. NCBI's taxonomy places the organism in Eukaryota, Metazoa, Mollusca, Cephalopoda, Sepiida, Sepiidae.